UGCAGUCGACGCUGAAGCCGACAGCUUGCUGUUGGUGGAUGAGUGGCGAACGGGUGAGUAACACGUGAGUAACCUGCCCCUGAUUUCGGGAUAAGCCUGGGAAACUGGGUCUAAUACCGGAUAUGACCUCCUGACGCAUGUUGGGUGGUGGAAAGUUUUUCGAUCGGGGAUGGGCUCGCGGCCUAUCAGCUUGUUGGUGGGGUAAUGGCCUACCAAGGCGACGACGGGUAGCCGGCCUGAGAGGGCGACCGGCCACACUGGGACUGAGACACGGCCCAGACUCCUACGGGAGGCAGCAGUGGGGAAUAUUGCACAAUGGGGGAAACCCUGAUGCAGCGACGCAGCGUGCGGGAUGACGGCCUUCGGGUUGUAAACCGCUUUCAGCAGGGAAGAAGCGAAAGUGACGGUACCUGCAGAAGAAGUACCGGCUAACUACGUGCCAGCAGCCGCGGUAAUACGUAGGGUACGAGCGUUGUCCGGAAUUAUUGGGCGUAAAGAGCUCGUAGGUGGUUGGUCACGUCUGCUGUGGAAACGCAACGCUUAACGUUGCGCGUGCAGUGGGUACGGGCUGACUAGAGUGCAGUAGGGGAGUCUGGAAUUCCUGGUGUAGCGGUGAAAUGCGCAGAUAUCAGGAGGAACACCGGUGGCGAAGGCGGGACUCUGGGCUGUAACUGACACUGAGGAGCGAAAGCAUGGGGAGCGAACAGGAUUAGAUACCCUGGUAGUC
RNAcentral lists this ribosomal RNA (727 nucleotides) under Brevibacterium sp. N50_3. RNAcentral describes it as "bacterial SSU rRNA". It matches the Rfam family "Bacterial small subunit ribosomal RNA", at positions 56 to 795 of the family's 1533-position model. Lineage: Bacteria; Bacillati; Actinomycetota; Actinomycetes; Micrococcales; Brevibacteriaceae. The record is from RNAcentral.